GCCCAGACUCCUACGGGAGGCAGCAGUGAGGAAUAUUGGUCAAUGGGCUUACGUCUGAACCAGCCAAGUCGCGUGAGGGAAGACUGCCCUAUGGGUUGUAAACCUCUUUUGUCAGGGAGCAACGCCGGCUACGUGUAGCCGGACUGAGAGUACCUGAAGAAAAAGCAUCGGCUACCUCCGUGCCAGCAGCCGCGGUAAUACGGAGGAUGCGAGCGUUAUCCGGGUUUAUUGGGUUUAAAGGGUGCGUAGGGCGAAUGGCAAAGUCGGGGGUAAAUGCGCGGGGCCAAACCUCGCCCCGCCGUUGAAACUGGCGUUCUUGAGUGGGCGAAAAGUAUGCGGAAUGCGUGGUGUAGCGGUGAAAUGCAUAGAUAUCACGCAGAACUCCGAUUGCGAAGGCAGCAUACCGGCGCCCAACUGACGCUGAAGCACGAAAGCGUGGGUAUCGAACAGGAUUAGAUACCCGAGUA
RNAcentral lists this ribosomal RNA (467 nucleotides) under uncultured bacterium. RNAcentral describes it as "bacterial SSU rRNA". It matches the Rfam family "Bacterial small subunit ribosomal RNA", at positions 329 to 792 of the family's 1533-position model. The record is from RNAcentral.